ACAAAGCAAAAAACAGCCCAUCGAGAGCUGCACAGAUUUUCAGUCAGGCAACUUAUCCCCAGGACAGAAGAUUGAACAUGGAAUUGUGAAGACCCCUCCCCCAUAGCCAUGUACAAGUCCGGGUGCACAAAAGAACAGCACGCCUGUAAAACAAUGGAGAAGGACCAGAUAGAGAGUUGAGAAGACACCUGUAUUCUUCUAGUGUCAUAGGGAUUAAAGGAGGCAAUAUAGUGGCACUGAUUGCCUUUGACUCUUCAUUAAAACAUAGUUUUAAUAUAAAACAAGAUUUGAAAGAGAUAAUAUUUGAGGAAAGAUGAUAAAUGGACUUUCUCAGAUGCCAACUCAGAUUAGUUGGUAGGGCCAGCCUGAUGAGAAAGACUGUGAAGUAGAGACCCAGCUUUGAAGAUUCUACUGUUCCCGGCUCCAUCGCAAUUUCUACAUUAUUUUCCAACUUAGGGAAGUGGGAAGAUACCAGACAUUCAUGGUGAGACUAUUACAACUUCCAGUUCAGUUUAAAAUCUAGACUUGGAAGCACCUUCAGAAUGAUUUCUGGCUCCACAGCAAGCAGGUGAUACAAGUUUAGAAUGAUGUUAAAUGUACAGCAACAAAAUUUUAAAAAAUUCUGUUUAUGUUUCAGAUUCUCACAUCCCUUUAACUUACAGCUCUGUUCACAGGUAG
Mustela erminea (ermine) is the source of this 678-nucleotide long non-coding RNA. RefSeq lists it as uncharacterized. The transcript is spliced from 4 exons. Lineage: Eukaryota; Metazoa; Chordata; Mammalia; Carnivora; Mustelidae. The record is from RefSeq and is a predicted model, not a curated record.